CAACAUGUUCGAAGAGGUGUGGCGGCGAGAACCAAGUGAGAGGACAUAUUUAAAGCGCUGGGCAGUGGCGUCUGGGCACACAAUUCACGGAUCCCAGCCGUCCCUCUCAGGAAAUGUGAUAAGAAGACGGACUUCGGGGCCUAGAAAACCUGGACUUGGCCCUUGGCGGACAGCGGUGGAACCGCCGGCAGGGCAAAUUGGGAGCGGAGGGAUCGGCGGUCCACGCGCAGGAUCUGCUGGGAGUUGUAGUCCGUAUCCUGCCUUGGAGCCGGCUGCGCCGCCCUUUCUUGGUGGCUCUUUGGUUUGGGCCCCGCUGGGCUGCCAGUUGCGAGGCGGCCCCGUUCAUCUUAGGGAGAAGCCUCUUCUGCCCGGCCAACCCACGGGCCUGGGUUUGUCCCUGCCCCGGGACGCCAAACACAGUCUGAUCGAGAAUUGCCCCUUGAGUUAGGAGAUGGAGGAGGGACCUGAAAAAAGUGGUCUCUCGACAGCGAGGGCGGGGGAGGGCCUCGUCGGACUCUCCUCAGUGUCUCCAGCGCCUAGUGAGUGGUCUUUUGAAUGACUGAAGGGUUGGUGAGGCAAGGUUUAUUGGGGGAUACCUGUCCAUCUCUUCUUGAUCGCUAAACGAGGCUUGACCUGGGCUGAAAGAAAUGCAGUAAGGGGCCACUUUCUCAGCUUCCUGGGAGCUGGGACCCUGGAACCCAGUAAAGACUGUUAUUCCAGACUUAGGAAUGGCCUGAGCAUAAGCCUGAAGGCAUGGAGCUGGUCUCGAGGCUUACCCUUCCGCUUCACCAAAAGCACCUUCUCCGAGAAGAGCCAGAGUGAUCAUUUGAAAAGAUCAUCCAGACUUGAACUGAGGGGCAUUGCUGGCUUGAAAAUGAUCCAAGAACAGAAGAAACACCUCUCAAAGGUCAUCCACCAAACAAACAAAAACUGAGAAACACUAUCUGUUGUUGUUGUUUUCUCCUCAGGAGUGAAUCUGGGCUAACUUUGGAUUUUCAGUAAGUCAUAUCCUAUAUGUAAAGCCUUCCAUUUUCCCCUCCUAUGUUUUGAUUCAUCUGAUCUGUAACCCUUUACAUCCAAUUAACCACUCACGUCUAUGACUUUUCCUUUUGCCAUGUUGUAAUUCUCAGACUGUCCUGAAUUGAAUUAUUAGGAAGUGCAGGCCUUGGA
Long non-coding RNA from Balaenoptera musculus (blue whale), 1170 nucleotides. RefSeq lists it as uncharacterized. Lineage: Eukaryota; Metazoa; Chordata; Mammalia; Artiodactyla; Balaenopteridae. The record is from RefSeq and is a predicted model, not a curated record. The transcript has 3 exons.